RNAcentral lists this long non-coding RNA (570 nucleotides) under Rhinopithecus bieti (black snub-nosed monkey). Its description in RNAcentral is "lncRNA (ENSRBIG00000045268.1)". The record is from RNAcentral. Lineage: Eukaryota; Metazoa; Chordata; Mammalia; Primates; Cercopithecidae.
AGUGUUCUGCCAACUCGCUCCACGACUGUCUAGUUCCAUCUGGCCCCAGCCCACUUUUGUUUUAUGCCUUUGGCUAUUGGUAGCAAAAAAUCAGUGGCUACACUAGCUGGAGACUGUCAAGGCCAGCCCGAGGAACCAAGAGCAGACUGGGAUCUGGAGAAUGCUGUCAGUGAAGUUUACUUGUGAUAGACUGUCUGCCUGAGCCCUUAUUGCAUUGUACCUGCAUUACCCAAGAGGUAAAAGAAGGAAGAGAAAUGGAUGGGAAUGGGUCAGAGGAACAACACACACUUUUAGGAGAAAGGAGAUUAAGAAAUAUCUGCUUCAUGUAUUCUAUUGUGGCCUGAAUUUCUCAUGAAUGUGGGCCCACUCAUUGAUUCUCUGCAGAUACAGCACACAUCUUCCAUAACCAGAAGCACUCCAAGAACAACACUUUCAUUCAUGGACUUAACAACUACAUUAGAUCAUACCAGCCUGUCACUUCAAAGUCGCCAGUGUCAAGGACAAACAGAAAGGCUCUGUGAACAGUAAGUGAAGCUGGAGCUACAAAAGCACAAAGCCCUUGGAGGGAGC